CCCCUCUUUAAACAGUUCUUUAAAAAGGAGGGUCCCUUUUUGCUUUGCAGACUUUGCCUCUGGUUUCUCUCAGGACUAGAUGUGAAGAUGGAGGAGUUUGUGGUUGCAUGCUGCACUGCUUGGUGGAUACGUGCCUGGCCUGGCUAUAGUGUUUCCAACUUGCGAAAUCCUGAUUUGGGUCAACAUCUGAACUCCGUCCAUGUGUGUGUAAUUCACGGAUCAAGAGUGCUGAGAAGAGUCUGAGAUGAGGUGUGAAAUGCUACAAAGAUGAAAGAACCUGUCUCUAUUUCUGUGUUAGAGGAAAAGAAUGGUGAAAAGCAUCUCAGUUGAGCACAGGUCGUAAGACAUGUAUGAAUAGAAAUGAGUGAAACAAGAAAUACCUGUCCAUGGCAGGAUUCUAAGGUGGGAUGUGAGAGCUACUGAGAUGUGAGAACUCAGAAAAAGACAUUGGCUAUGUGAAUAGACUGAAGGAAGCAGUCUGGACCACUGGCCACAACAUGGCAGAAAGGCACGCUAGCUUUUGAUCAACCUGACAUAAAUCAAGUUGUGAAUGAACUUGCCUAUUAUUCUGCUAUGAAAUCCACUAUAUAAAUUGAACACGGAUGUUUGGAUCCAGCUCCAUGAUCUGACAUGGCAGAGCUGCAGGAUCUCUGACAUGUAGCAUUGUCUUCUAUUCACUGACUGCUCACUCUCCAAAUCACUUUGGCUUGCUCUUUCCAGCUUGUCAGUGAAUUGUUGCACUGCCUCCUGCAUCAAAAACAGCCUGUGAGCAUACUGUAGCAAGCCAGAUGCCUUGAGGUUGCUUCCUUCCUAUCCUGGGAUAUGUGUCAGCUUCACAUGGUAUACUUUAACAUCUUGAACACCUGGGAGAAUUAGAAUCUGAGAUAAAUUUAAGAUUAAAUUAGCAUCAAGGCUAUUCAUAUAUAUGUAGAUAUAUGUGCAUGUCUGAGUAUUUGUAAAUAUAUGCAUACAUGUUGAUGAG
This 982-nucleotide long non-coding RNA is filed under the name Zonotrichia albicollis (white-throated sparrow). RNAcentral describes it as "lncRNA (ENSZALG00000010480.1)". The record is from RNAcentral. Lineage: Eukaryota; Metazoa; Chordata; Aves; Passeriformes; Passerellidae.